GAAUCAAUGAACACAAAUUACAAUUCACUAAUAUCUACAAGAAACUACCACUUUUAGCGGCGACGCCGCUAAAAGUCUUGAUCCGGAACAAGGGAUUUGCAAUUGAUCUGGGCCGUUGUUUGCUUAACUAAUCGAAGGGCUAGGGUUUAUCCCUGAAUAAAACAUGUCUAAAAAGGCUCACAUCCUGUUUUAGCGGCAUUUUCCCUCUUUCCCACCAAGAUGAAAUCUGCACACAUCGCCCUAGCAAAACCUUGAGUCUGCCGGAGUGCCGCACCGCCUUCACUCUGCCGGAGCACCUCCAUCUCGCCUGAUUCUCCGACGCCACUUCGAAAACGGGUGUGGGAUAACGCCCCCUAUUAAACAAAAUUAAAAAAAAAGGUUUAUUAGCUGCAAAGAUGUGGGCCCCACCUGAUAAAGCCCUUCUUCCUCGUUACCAUGAUAAAGCCCCAUCAAUGGCGCCCCGGUUUAACUUGCUUGGUGUGGAUGGUGGCACCAAGGGGGGCGCUAUAGGCGGUGAUGUGGCACGAUGGAGCCCUCCGUACCCUCCGGCCUAACAACCUCCCUCAGUCGCAGGGUGAGCAGAUCUAAUGCAAAGACUGGAUUUGAAAUGAUUAAACAGAUGUUGGGGUAGGUCUUUAGUAAAGAUGUCUGUGCAUACUGGCAUAAAGAACCCGAACCAAACCGAGUCGAACCUUUUCCUGGACGAAGUGGAUGUCAAUCUCGACAUGCUUUUUACGAUGAUGUUGCACCGGGUUUUGAGCAAGAUGCAUGGAUGAAAUGUUAUCACAAUAGAUUAUUGAUGCUUUGGUAAUAGGCACAUGAAGUUCCAGAAGUAGAUUUCGAAGGCAUUGGCGACGCCUUUAUAUUCUGCCUCGGCACUAGAUCUUGAAAUAGUAGGUUGACGUUUUGAAGCCCAUGAGAUCUAAAAAAACACACAAUAUCCCGAGGUUGUCUUCGAGUGUCAGGACAACCCCCAAUCGGCGUCUGAAUAUGUCAUAAGAGUAACUGAAUCGGAGGGACUUAGAUGCAACCCUUAGUCAAGAGUUCCUUUUAGAUACCUUAAGAUGCGUUUGAGGAACUUAAAAUGGGGUUCUCUAGGGGUAUGCAUGAAUAAACACACUUGCGUUUGAGGAACUUAAAAUGGGGUUCUCUAGGGGUAUGCAUGAAUAAACACACUUGCUGCACGAAGUAGGCGAUAUCGGGUCGUGUUAUGGUCAAAUGUUGAAGAGCACAAACGAGGCUUCUAUAAAGAGAACCAUCAGGAAGGAGUGCACCGGUGUUUGCACUAAGUUUGUUGUGUGUAUCAGCGGGAGUGGCACUUGGUUUGCAAUUUUGCAUAUUUGCUCUAGCAAGUAUGUCAUCGACAUAAGAUUGUUGAGAUAAAAGAGUCCACCAUGUUGAGAACGAACCUGUAUGCCAAGAAACUGGUGCAAACAACCAAGGUCAUUCAUUGCAAUUUAUGUGACAUCAACUUGAUAAAGUGACGGAGUAAAGAAGUAUCAGAUGCUGUCAAAAUGAUGUCGUCAACAUAUAAUAGCAAGUAUGCCAUUUUAGUACUGGGAGGAGGAUGUAUGGUGGCUAGGUUGGGUUGGUAUAAGUGUGUUACAGUGGGACAGGAGUGUUUGGUGGGAAGGGUAUAGGGGACGAAGUAGGGGAUAGUGUGUUAGAAACGGGUAUGGCAGUGGGUGUAUGUGUUGGGUUAGGUGGAAUAUUAGUGGCUGAAUCAUGAGUGGGUGUGGUGUGUAUUUAGAUUAUAGAAAAUAUGAGGAGAAUGGUCAGUGUCAAGAAAAGAAUAAGAGGGGUGAGUGGUAUGAGUUGAGGAAGAGUAUGGGAAAACAAGUUUUUUUUUUUUUUUUUUUUAUAAAUGUGUAAAAGUGUUGUCCUACAUGAUGACUGUACGAAUACAAGACAUGUGUACUUAAGGACAAUUGAGUUGUAAGGUGAUGUUUUUAAAUUUUGGCUAA
This is a long non-coding RNA of Helianthus annuus (common sunflower), 1964 nucleotides long. RefSeq lists it as uncharacterized. NCBI's taxonomy places the organism in Eukaryota, Viridiplantae, Streptophyta, Magnoliopsida, Asterales, Asteraceae. The record is from RefSeq and is a predicted model, not a curated record. The transcript is spliced from 2 exons.